Molecule: unclassified non-coding RNA, 280 nt
Organism: Homo sapiens (human)
Lineage: Eukaryota; Metazoa; Chordata; Mammalia; Primates; Hominidae
Rfam family: Metazoan signal recognition particle RNA
About the family: The signal recognition particle (SRP) is a universally conserved ribonucleoprotein. It is involved in the co-translational targeting of proteins to membranes.
Source: Ensembl
GCUGGGCAUAGUGGCCCAUGCCUGUAAUCCCAGCACUUUAGGAGGCUGAGGCAGGUGGAUUGCUUGAGCCCAGGAGUUUGAGACCAGCCUGGGCAACAGUGAAUCCCUGUCUCUACAAAAAACACAAACAUCCGCCGGGCAUGGUGGUGUGUACCUGUAAUCCCAGCCACUGGGGAGGCUGAGGUGGGAGGAUCGCUUGAGCUCAGGAGGUCCAGACCACAGUGAGCUGUGAUUGUGCCACUGCACUCCAGCCUGGGUAAGAGAGCAAGAACCUGUCUCA